CCCUUGCAUGAGAAAAGCAGGAAUGUAGUAACAAGCAGUAAGUGUGAGUUACUGCAGGAACCAAAAAGCAUUAACUUUGCUUUCCAAAGACUUUAUAUUUCAGAAUGUCCUAAACUUCUGAACACAUUAUUUUACCUGUUUUUUUGUUUUGUUUUGUUUCUUGAUAUCUAUAAAAUGGAUAAUUAUAUUACCUUGUGCAUAUGGGCGUUAUGAGGAAUAAAUGGUAUAAUGUUUUAUAAAGUGCUGGGCAAAACACCAGGCACAUAUUCACACCUCACACUUGUUCAUUUGCUGUCUUAUCACUUUAAUAUCAUUCAUCCAAAAAGCUAUGGCCUUCAUUGUUGUCAUAUUAAAAUAACCCUAGUCUCAUAAAAGUUGUGGCACACAUAAACAACAAAAGUCACAAGAAAUAGAAUCUAAAUAUUUGUUCCCAUUUAAAAUAAAAAGAGUGCUUCUUUUGGGAGAGAUACAAAAUACCAUGGUGAAAUUUUUAAGUAAAAAUUAUUAGCUAUAGUGAAAUAGUGGUUUUGCCCAAAUGGCCAUAAAGCAGCAGAAUAGCCAACUCUAUCAGGUAGCCAAGCAGGAAAUUUUUUAUUCACCUUAGGAAAAAAUGAAUUAUUUUCCAAAAUGUAUCACUCCAUAUAUUCUCACUUAGCAUGGCCAUCCUCGUUCAUACAUCCAAGAAGCUGUCCAUUAAAAUGCCAAAUGGACAGUAUCUCCAGGCAAAUGGUUUGACUUCCUUAAAGAUCUAGUUUCUUUGUAAAAUUUUACUGCUGUUCUGACACCAACUUGUGCCACAUUUUUUACUUUCUAUGGUUCAUAACCGAACUGAACUGAGAACUGUUUCCUAAAACCAAUAAAAAAUUCAAUUACAUUUUGGGAUAAAUUCCAGUGAUAUCUUUAAUACUAACUUACCCAUUUAAGAAGUAUAGUAGAAGUCUCUAUGAAAAAUGCUCUUAAUUCAGAUACUUUUCUGGCUGACAUUACCAGCAACCUAAAAACCAGUGUGAUGGAUGGAAAAAGUUAAAAAUAUUUCACUCUGUGGUUCCAACAUUUCAGAAGCGCAAUUGCUGGGAACUAGAUUUAAGCUUUAAUUAGGAAAUGUAUAUAUCACAGGGUUGCUCCUUUCCUGUGAUCCGGGGAGAAAACGUUUUUAUGUGCGUGUGUUGAAAUGCAGAGAUCAAUAAAAAUCAAGUUUGACAACACCAAGACCAAAGAAGCUUUGAGGAAUUUGGAGAUUUAGAAGAUUAUCUCCAUAAACCUGGGACCACGCCACUUAAUUAUUCUAUCACUGGGGCUACAAACUAGAAACGGAAAUCCUUUGCUUAAAUAUUAAUAAUUAGACAUUUUAACACUUUAUUCCAAAGACAAAGUGUACUUCACAAAAAGUCUGUUAAUUAUGUAGCCAUUUAUUUGUUUUGAACAGUAAAUAUAUUUCUAAUCAUUAAAAAUAAGAAAGAUAUAGUCAUAUGUAAAGAUUAAUGAAUGGGUUAGAAAGGAAAUAAAAGGUGAACAGUUCAAAGGAGCAAGUAGUGCAGGGAAGAAUGUUUCUAUUUCUUUGCUCAUAUUAACCAUGAGAGAGCAAGGAAUAGAGUAGGAUGGGUGUGUGUGGGUGUGUGGGUGUGAACGCGUACACGCAGGCACCUGAUCAUUUAAUCAAUAUCAACUAUCACAACAGAUAAUUCAAGCCUAAAAUUUAACUUUGGAGCUCACUUCUCUUUUGAAGGGUGUAAAUGAGUUGAUCUGAAUGGCACAAUGGAGUUGAUCCUCUCACGUUUUCUGGUGGAAGCUCAUUUUCUUACAAGUGCUUGAUAACCACACACUUGAACAGCCAGGCCUCAGAUCCGCUUCCUCCUCUCAUGUCUCGAUGUGAAGCACAAAGCUGUAAGUGGGACAGCCUGUAGGACCGAUGCUAAAAGCUUUGUUGUGGGAAUUCCUAAAGCGUAUUCCUAUAAAUAGGAUGGUCUGCAUUCACUCAAGUUGUGCACACUGACCCAAAUAGGAAUGAUGCAUAUGAUUCACAAAUGUGUACAUCAAUACGCUGGGAAUCAAAUGGGCAGGCAUCGUUCCCAAACGUGGAUGUUUCCUUAGAAACAUCCUCAGUAUUUUUAUCUGCCUCUCCUUCUAAGCGGUUUUUGAAACAAAUUCUAAACAAAUAAUUGGAAGAAAAUAGUUUUUAACAUAUAUGUAGACAAAGAGUUAAGACAUCCCAGUAGAAACAUAUCCUACAAAUUGUUAACAUAAAGGCAGCACACCCAAUAUGAAAUAGACUGCCUGUUCACAAAGAUAAUGCAAACGGAAAAACAUGGCACUACAAAUGAAAUCCACGUAUAAAAGAUAGUCUAACUUCUUUAGUAAGCAGGUAAAUGGAAAUUACAACCAAAAAAAAAAACAUUUCUGACUUAUUAGAUUAAGAACAAUGUAAAAAUUUGUUAAUAUCCAGUACGAUUAAGGGUACAGGAAAACAGGCAGGCACACUCAUCCAUUGCUGGAAAAGUAUGAAUUACUGCCAACUUUUUUCGGGGUUUUCUUCUGGCUCUGUCUAUUAAAAUUUAAAAACUACAACGGCUUAGUGUUAAGAAGCUUCUAUCCUACAACAACAACAACAAAAAAACAGCCAUGUGUCAAGAUGCAUGUACAACUAUAACAUCGAAGAAAAGUCUGUAAGAACCAAAAGUAUAAACUACUUAAAUAUCUAUUAACAGGGAAGAAAAACACGAUGUGCAAAUAAGUCUUAGACUGAAUUGCCUAGAAACUGAUGCUGAGAUUAAAAAAAAGGGGGGGGGGGGGAGGAAGGGAGGUCAAUGUGCGAUCUCCAGCAGCGACCCACAGUAGGUAACUGGGUCAGUGGUACAGAGAGAUUCUGGAGACUACUGGGAUCACAUUCAACCCUGUCCUAGACAGAUGCCCACCCCUGUGAGGCAUGGUUCCGGGCUCCGCCUAGGGAAUAUGAAACAGACUAUGACAGCUGGAAUCAAGUCCUUCAGAGAGAAGAAGAUGCUGGGAGUGAAAGUGCACCAAGGAGCCAGUGGGCACAAAAUGGAAAGACCUGCUACUCAAUAGGGUAUUAUAUGCUAUAAAAAAAAAAAGAAUAAAUUAGAGACAUACAUUUAACUAUAGAGUUGACCGUGAUAUAUGAUAAGACAUCAGGUUUUUCUUUUCUGGGAGUGGGAAGCCUUAUUUAUUUAUUUAAAUAAGGCUAAAGUGUGAAAUGAUAAAUAUCAAGAUGUUAACAUAAAAGCUACUGUAGAAUCGUAGGGGAGAAGUAGCCUGAAAGAAUGGCAAACAGAAAGAACUAGCAACCUUUUAUGUGUAUGCUCUUUUAUACUUUUGUUUGGCCUGUGCAUACAUUGCACCCGUAAAUUAAUAGACAAAUAAAGUAAAAGAUCAAAUAUGCCACAUCAAAAUUAACUUCCAUAAGCUCUUUUCCUUUAAUUGAAAAUGCUCAGAUUAAAAUAUUUUCUCAGAGUUAAUAGGCUUGCCCUUUUAACUGCAAGCUGAGAAAUGCCUUUGGGACUUAAGUCUACAUAUGUGACCUGAAAUUAACAGACAAACACACACAGACAUUCUGGGCAAUGGGGGAAUAAGGCAGAAAGAAAUGGAAAUCUGUAUGUUAAGGCAUUGCAACGAUGAUAUUCAAAAUGCAAGCAUCUCCAUUAAUUAUAAAACUCCAAGGAAUCAAUAGCAGGAGAAUGCGUAAAUGAAUUAAAAUCCAUUAAACAGAAUCAUGACUACAUAGGCAUUAAAUUAUGUUUUUGAAAAAUCAGUGCUGGCUUAAAAACAGAAGCAUGAUACAAUGUGAGGUUUAAAAAAGGAAUGUAAAUACAUAAUAAAAAAAAAAAAUAAAAAAGGAAUGUGUUGUACUGUAUAGAUAAAUGAUUCUUCUUACAUAAAUAUAUCGGGUAUCUACGUUUCUGCAUGUAUACAUAUACAUACGUGUAAGUAAGAAUACAUUUCUCUGGAAGAACACAUGUCAUCUACACUUUAAUAGUGGUUAUACCUAGAUUAUAACCUAGGUAUAUGGGAAUAUGGCUGAUUUUAAAAGUUUCUUUUCUUUUACUUUUCUGCAUUGUUUUUCUUUCAAUGUCAUGCUUUAGUAUUUUCCUUUUUUAAAGAUUGAUUUAUUUAUUUGAGAGAAGAGAGAGAGAGAGAGAGAGAGCACACAAGUGAGGGCAGGGGCACAGAGAAAGAAUCUUCAAGCGGACUCCCUGUUGAGUGCAGAGCCCAAAGCAGGGCUAGAUCCCAGGACGCAUGAGAUCUUGACCUGAGCAGAAACCAAGAGUUGAAGCUCAGCCAAGUAAGCCACCCAGGCACCCCUAGAUUUUUUAAGUAAAACCAAAUCAAGUAAUAAAACAACUUGCUUCUUUAGAAAAAAAAAGAUACUCAUAAAGAAGUAAGCUCCCAUCUGCACAGCAAUUUUGACAGAUUAAUAAUGGAAAAAAGAUAUGUACAUUGUCUUCUGUUGAAAUGCAUGUAUUUGAUGCCCAGGGAGAGGUGACAAAUCUUUCCAUGUUUCAAACAUUACCUACCAUCAACAGACUAUUCCCAACAUUCAAGAAAUCUUUCUGUAACUUUAUACAUACAACAUGCAGAAACAGUAAAUGACACUAUAGGGAAAAAACAAACAAACAAACAAACAAACAAACAAACGAACAAAAAAACCUUGAAUCCCUCCAAUACUGCAUUGCCUUGGAAACAGUAAGGCACCAAAGAGACUCACAGAAUUCCAAUAAAAAGAAAAACCAAACCAAAACAAAACAAAUUCCUUUCUAGACUUUGUGUUUU
Molecule: long non-coding RNA, 4785 nt
Filed under: Canis lupus familiaris (dog)
Lineage: Eukaryota; Metazoa; Chordata; Mammalia; Carnivora; Canidae
Description: lncRNA (ENSCAFG00845000282.1)
Source: RNAcentral